Molecule: ribosomal RNA, 433 nt
Filed under: uncultured bacterium
Lineage: Bacteria
Description: partial 16S ribosomal RNA
Rfam family: Bacterial small subunit ribosomal RNA
Source: RNAcentral
AACGAACGCUGGCGGCAUGCCUAACACAUGCAAGUCGAACGAGACCUUCGGGUCUAGUGGCGCACGGGUGCGUAAAGCGUGGGAACCUGCCCUUAGGUUCGGAAUAACUCCCCGAAAGGGGUGCUAAUACCGGAUAAUGUUUUCGGACCAAAGAUUUAUCGCCUUUGGAUGGGCCCGCGUUGGAUUAGCUAGUUGGUAGGGUAAAAGCCUACCAAGGCGACGAUCCAUAGCUGGUCUGAGAGGAUGAUCAGCCACACUGGGACUGAGACACGGCCCAGACUCCUACGGGAGGCAGCAGUGGGGAAUAUUGGACAAUGGGCGAAAGCCUGAUCCAGCAAUGCCGCGUGAGUGAUGAAGGCCUUAGGGUUGUAAAGCUCUUUUACCCGGGAUGAUAAUGACAGUACCGGGAGAAUAAGCUCCGGCUAACUCCGUG